UGGUAAUGCCGGAUGUUCCACAUGAUCGCAUGUGAUUGUGGGAAAGAUUCUAUCGGCGUGGGAUGGGGUCGCGUCCUAUCAGCUUGUUGGUGAGGUAACGGCUCACCAAGGCUUCGACGGGUAGCCGGCCUGAGAGGGCGACCGGCCACAUUGGGACUGAGAUACGGCCCAGACUCCUACGGGAGGCAGCAGUGGGGAAUAUUGCACAAUGGGCGCAAGCCUGAUGCAGCGACGCCGCGUGAGGGAUGGAGGCCUUCGGGUUGUAAACCUCUUUUGUUUGGGAGCAAGCCUUCGGGUGAGUGUACCUUUCGAAUAAGCGCCGGCUAACUACGUGCCAGCAGCCGCGGUAAUACGUAGGGCGCAAGCGUUAUCCGGAUUUAUUGGGCGUAAAGGGCUCGUAGGCGGCUCGUCGCGUCCGGUGUGAAAGUCCAUCGCUUAACGGUGGAUCUGCGCCGGGUACGGGCGGGCUGGAGUGCGGUAGGGGAGACUGGAAUUCCCGGUGUAACGGUGGAAUGUGUAGAUAUCGGAAAGAACACCA
Molecule: ribosomal RNA, 538 nt
Filed under: Bifidobacterium bifidum
Lineage: Bacteria; Bacillati; Actinomycetota; Actinomycetes; Bifidobacteriales; Bifidobacteriaceae
Description: bacterial SSU rRNA
Rfam family: Bacterial small subunit ribosomal RNA
Source: RNAcentral